UAUAUUUGAGUAUGGGAUGUACAUGAGUUUUUGAUAUUCAUAGGGGUGGUUUAAUUCCACUAAAUAUAA
Molecule: transfer RNA, 69 nt
Filed under: Tenebrionoidea sp. 18 KM-2017
Lineage: Eukaryota; Metazoa; Arthropoda; Insecta; Coleoptera
Description: tRNA-Gln
Source: RNAcentral